GAGUUUGAUCGUGGCUCAGAUUGAACGCUGGCGGCAUGCCUUACACAUGCAAGUCGAACGGCAGCACGGGAGCUUGCUCCUGGUGGCGAGUGGCGAACGGGUGAGUAAUGCAUCGGAACGUAUCCUGGAGCGGGGGAUAACGUAGCGAAAGUUACGCUAAUACCGCAUAUUCUGUGAGCAGGAAAGCGGGGGACCUUCGGGCCUCGCGCUCUUGGAGCGGCCGAUGUCGGAUUAGCUAGUUGGUGAGGUAAAGGCUCACCAAGGCGACGAUCCGUAGCAGGUCUGAGAGGAUGAUCUGCCACACUGGAACUGAGACACGGUCCAGACUCCUACGGGAGGCAGCAGUGGGAAUUUUGGACAAUGGGGGCAACCCUGAUCCAGCCAUGCCGCGUGAGUGAAGAAGGCCUCGG
Molecule: ribosomal RNA, 410 nt
Filed under: bacterium enrichment culture clone ALO1_GLFRUDD03GYISE
Lineage: Bacteria
Description: bacterial SSU rRNA
Rfam family: Bacterial small subunit ribosomal RNA
Source: RNAcentral